This 512-nucleotide ribosomal RNA is filed under the name uncultured bacterium. RNAcentral's name for it is "partial 16S ribosomal RNA". It matches the Rfam family "Bacterial small subunit ribosomal RNA", at positions 28 to 507 of the family's 1533-position model. The record is from RNAcentral.
GAUGAACGCUGGCGGCGUGCCUAAUACAUGCAAGUCGAACGAAACUUCUUUAUCACCGAGUGCUUGCACUCACCGAUAAAGAGUUGAGUGGCGAACGGGUGAGUAACACGUGGGCAACCUGCCCAAAAGAGGGGGAUAACACUUGGAAACAGGUGCUAAUACCGCAUAACCAUAGUUACCGCAUGGUAACUAUGUAAAAGGUGGCUAUACUACCGCUUCUGGAUGGUCCCGCGGCGCAUUAGCUAGUUGGUAGGGUAAAGGCUUACCAAGGCAAUGAUGCGUAGCCGAAUUGAGAGGUUGAUCGGCCACAUUGGGACUGAGACACGGCCCAAACUCCUACGGGAGGCAGCAGUAGGGAAUCUUCCACAAUGGGCGAAAGCCUGAUGGAGCAACGCCGCGUGGGUGAAGAAGGUCUUCGGAUCGUAAAACCCUGUUGUUAGAGAAGAAAGUGCGUGAGAGUAACUGUUCACGUUUCGACGGUAUCUAACCAGAAAGCCACGGCUAACUACGUG